This 74-nucleotide transfer RNA is filed under the name Oscillospiraceae bacterium. RNAcentral describes it as "tRNA-Gly". It matches the Rfam family "tRNA". Rfam says of the family: Transfer RNA (tRNA) molecules are approximately 80 nucleotides in length. Their secondary structure includes four short double-helical elements and three loops (D, anti-codon, and T loops). Further hydrogen bonds mediate the characteristic L-shaped molecular structure. tRNAs have two regions of fundamental functional importance: the anti-codon, which is responsible for specific mRNA codon recognition, and the 3' end, to which the tRNAs corresponding amino acid is attached (by aminoacyl-tRNA synthetases). tRNAs cope with the degeneracy of the genetic code in two manners: having more than one tRNA (with a specific anti-codon) for a particular amino acid; and 'wobble' base-pairing, i.e. permitting non-standard base-pairing at the 3rd anti-codon position. The record is from RNAcentral. Lineage: Bacteria; Bacillati; Bacillota; Clostridia; Eubacteriales; Oscillospiraceae. RNAcentral also lists the same sequence under 1 other name.
GCGGAUGUAGCUCAAUGGCAGAGCGUCGGCUUCCCAAGCCGAACACGCGGGUUCGAUUCCCGUCAUCCGCUCCA